CUCGGGGUAUUCCACAAAAAAUUACCCUGAGGGAUGAAAUAUUCCAAGGGCGAAGCCCGAGGAAUAUUUCAUCCCGCAGGGUAAUUUUUUGUGGAAUACCCCGA
This 104-nucleotide microRNA precursor is filed under the name Paramuricea clavata. Lineage: Eukaryota; Metazoa; Cnidaria; Anthozoa; Malacalcyonacea; Plexauridae. The record is from RNAcentral.